AAGUGGAUUUUCUCUUUGGCGACGGUGAAGCUGAGAAGAAAACAAAAACAGCCCCCAUUAAAUUGAACUCCAUUCGAAGUUGACUAGUGUCUUGAACAGGAUCAGACGUUUCAGAGUCGAGAGCUUUUGACAACAACGGAGAGCCAUGGAAACCACCAGCAGCAGCAGCAAUCAGGUACCGGCUGCUUCAAAGCUCCUUCUCUAUUCCUACUGGCAAAGCUCUUGCUCUUGGCGCGUCCGCUUCGCUCUCAAUCUUAAAGCGCUAUAGGUAGUUAGCUGUAGGCAGGAGAGGAAUCCGUGGGUAUUGAACCCGUACCAAGUUGCAUAGGACUCCCGUACGAGUACAAACCGGUGAGCCUACCAGCUGGAGAGCAGUUCAGUCCAGAGUUCAAGUGUUUGAAUCCUCUUCAUUUUGUUCCGGUGUUGGUCGAUGGGGAUACAGUGGUUUCAGACUCCUUUGCAAUAUUGCUGUAUUUAGGGGACAAAUAUCCUCAGAGACUGUUAUUGCCAGCUGAUCCUCGGCUACAAGCUCUUAAUCUCCAGAAAUCUAAGUUGUAGAUUCAGGAUUUGAAGAAAUAACAACAUAUGUUACUGCCACCAAAAGGAGUUUAUGGUGUUAUGUCAUAGGCUGAAGAAUUUUCUAAUUUUAUAUGCCCUUGGGAGGCUUUCAGAACGCUAAUCAGGUUUGAGCAAAGUGGAAGUAUGCUGGGGCAACUUUGUUGAUAUUGUUAUUAAAUUCCUGUACUAAAUCUCUUUUCCUCUACCUGACGGCAUAACUCUAGGACAGUAUAUAACUAGACUGAUACAUACAAACAAAAUACCAGACAGUAUAACUAGCCUGAUACGUACAAACAAAAUAACAGACAGUAUAUCUAGCCUGAUACAUACAAACAAAAUAACUUCAAAUGAUAAUUUGAAUCCAAAUAACAUCUGUUUACCCAAAAAACUACCAAGCCUACGCGACGUGCAGGCCGAAUAGCUAAUGAGCUAACUACGUCCUUUGAUUGAAUGCGGGGCGUGCCAACUCGACGAUAGAGCUCGGUUGGUGAGUGAAUGAAUGUGGUGGUGGUGGUGGUGGUGUCGAAUGUGCUAUUGACUUUUGUCUUGCGAUUGCAGCUGAGGAAAGAACUCGUCUCAGCCUUUGGGUUCUAGAGAAAAGGCUUCUAAUUCCUUCGAAGUUCACGAAUCGUUGACACCGAGCUCAACCGCUGUAAUUAUAUUUGUACAAAUAUAAGUGCGUUGAAUCGGUUCCAGGCUGUACAGACACAAAUACUCAAAAGAGAUAAGUGUCUUGAUUGUAAAUGUGGUUUGGCCGUCAAAGUGCCAAAUUCUAAAUUGUACUUGUGAAUAUCCAAUCAUAAACUAAGUUCAGCUUUCAAUGUGUCGAACGAUGUAACCUAGUAACACUUCACUUCGUCGAGAAGGCUGAUGAAAUGACCUUUUCGAACAAGGACUUAGAGAUUCCUUGUUAACCGAGACUUGGAUAAAUAACUAGUUGAUCUCGAAGCAGUGCUGUUAAGACUAACUGAAGGUACUCCUCAAUUGCCUGAUCUAUGGCUCCAGUGUCGUUAAGACUAAUUGAAGGUGUUGCCGGUUGCCAACCACAGUUUUGUUAAGACUAACUAAAGAUGUGUUUGACGAAGUUAGAAAAGUCAAUGUUUUCUCAGGGAUGAGAGGGUUUCGCGUGGAGUGAGAGUUUUCGCAUGACCUAUUUGUGUGUUGAUUUGAAGAGGCUUUGAACAUUGCAUUCCCUCUUCUAUAGUAGCAACUUUUACCUGAUGCUGAGGUAGAGUCCUACUCGGACUAAAUUUUCUUGGCAUAUCUUGAAUGAAAUAUCAUCUUAUUUGAAUUGAACUCAAUCACUCCUACUGGACUUGGGAGUCUGAACCAGGCCCUUAGAACAUUAAGAAUAUUCUCACGCCAUCCUUAUCUUUGAGGACUCCUGAUUGAACCAGGACUUAGAGUUUUUAUGCUAGUCACCCCGAUUCACAUAAACUGUAGGGUUUUUAAUUAUUUUUGUUUAGGUUAAAAGCUCAGCUGUAUACAAAACCGGAAACAAAAUUGCGGUUUUUAAACCAUUUGUGUAGAGUUUUUAAUAACCUAAAUCAUGUUUUGUUUUUAAUCAUGUUCAUUCAAAGAUAGAUUUAUCAGGUGCUUUUAGGAUUAUAGAGCAUGAUUAUCCGUUAGGUUCAUAUUCUUAGAUUUGAUUCAUGUUUAUCUGAUGUUGUGUAAUUAAAUGUUAGGUCAUACUUAAAAUAUAAUCCACUUCUUCUUCUUCAAAAUAUAAUCCUAAAAGCACCAGAUAAUAAUGACGCUUAUAGGAUUAUCUAAUGUUGUGUAAUUAUUACAUUCUUUAUCGUAGCCAAAUAAUCCUAUAUAUAAUCACUGUUUUUCAAAAAUAAAAAAAAUAAAAAAAAUCACUGUGGGGCUUUUCCAAAAUAUAAUGCAAUAUUUUCGUGCUUUUGGGUUGAUAUUCUUACAGUUCAUAUUCUUAAAGUUUGAUUAUAUUUUGGUAAUCACCUAAUUUGUCAUCACAUAAUAUUGUGAAAUCGAACGCUAAUUUCUAGCAGCAGACAUAUAAAAUGAUGUAAAAAAUGAAUUACCAAUAAAAAUCCAAAUGGGUAAAAAAUUAUUACCUUUGGAGAAAACGGGUGUUUGGCCACUAAGUUGCUGCAACACCUUCAAACAAGAAACAAUUAAAUCAAACAUAACAACAAAUAUAAAUUCCUCUAAUCUAAAAUAGUAGUACAGAAUUUGUGUGAGAUGGGUGGUGAGCGACAAUAAAAAUGAUUUAUUAGGAAAAACUAGAAUUGGCUUAAAUUGAUUUAUCAUUGAUAAUUUGAUUUUGUAAUUUGUAGAAAUCAUUCUACCACCAGGGAUAGAGCUAGAGAUUUGAAUGAAUGGGGGCAUCCUCAAACAACAAAUUGCGGCGAUUAUGCCUCACACUGGCUCCAUUCGUGGCUCUAGAAGAGGUAGCACCGGUUGCUUUCGGAAUCUUGCCACAAACCUUUGGUGAUCGUUCUUGUCGAUGCAAAUUUCCACCGUCUUCAGUCUUGACAAAAAUACACCUACAAAACAAUCUAAACCUUCAAUCAAAGACCAAAAGCCUCACGCGCCCAUGACGAGUGUGGGUGUGGAGGGGGGGUGUUGGCCAAUGGAUUUCCGAUGCCUAAGUUAGUCUCUCUGAAAAAAGUGAGUGUUUAGGGUUUUCUGUGUAUGGAAAAGGCGUCCUGUUGCAGUCAUAUUUAGAAUAGGA
Molecule: non-coding RNA, 3256 nt
Organism: Malus domestica (apple)
Lineage: Eukaryota; Viridiplantae; Streptophyta; Magnoliopsida; Rosales; Rosaceae
Source: RefSeq, a predicted model, not a curated record